ACGCUCGUAGCUCAGACGGACAGAGCGUCUCCCUCCGAUGGAGAAGGCCGCGCGUUCGAGUCGCGCCGGGCGUA
This 74-nucleotide transfer RNA is filed under the name soil metagenome. RNAcentral also lists the same sequence under 1 other name. The record is from RNAcentral.